RNAcentral lists this ribosomal RNA (470 nucleotides) under uncultured bacterium. Its description in RNAcentral is "partial 16S ribosomal RNA". It matches the Rfam family "Bacterial small subunit ribosomal RNA", at positions 28 to 507 of the family's 1533-position model. The record is from RNAcentral.
GACGAACGCUGGCGGCGUGCUUAACACAUGCAAGUCGAACGCAGAAGCACCAGCUUGCUGGCGUGGAUGAGUGGCGCACGGGUGAGUAAUACGUGAGUAACCUGUCCUUGACUCUGGGGUAAGCCCUGGGAACUGGGUCUCAUACUGGAUGCUACAUGUCACCGCGUGGUGGUGUGUGGAAAGGGUUUGCUGGUCUUGGAUGUGCUCACGGCCUAGCGGCUUGUUGGGGAGGUGAUGGCUCACCGAGGCGACGACGGGUAGCCGGCCAGCGGGGGUGACAGGCCAUACUGGGACUUAGGGACGGCCCAGAUUCCGACGGGAGGCAGCAGGGGGGAAGAUUGCACAAGGGGCGAAAGCCUGAUGCAGAGACGCCGCGGGAGGGAUGACGGCCUUCGGGUUGUAAAACUCAUGCAGCAGGGAAGAAGCCACAAGUGACGGUACCUGCAGAAGAAGCGCCGGCUAACUACGUG